AUUGAACGCUGGCGGCAGGCCUAACACAUGCAAGUCGAGCGGAGCGGCGGACGGGUGAGUAAUGCCUAGGAAUCUGCCCGGUCGUGGGGGAUAACGUCCGGAUCCGGGCGCUAAUACCGCAUACUAUCAGAUGAGCCUAGGUCGGAUUAGCUAGUUGGUGGGUUAAUGGCCUACCAAGGCGACGAUCCGUAACUGGUCUGAGAGGAUGAUAAGUCACACUGUAACUGAGAGAGGGUCCAGAGUCCUACGGGAGGAAGAAGUGGGGAAAAUUGGAAAAUGGAGGAAAGCCUGAAGAAGCCAUGCCGCGUGUGGGAAGAGGGUCAUCGGAUGGAAAAGGACAUUAAGUUGGGAGGCGUUAACAAAAAAAUAAGCACCGGCUAACUACGAGACAGCCGCCGCGGUAAUAC
This 407-nucleotide ribosomal RNA is filed under the name uncultured bacterium. Its description in RNAcentral is "partial 16S ribosomal RNA". It matches the Rfam family "Bacterial small subunit ribosomal RNA", at positions 29 to 526 of the family's 1533-position model. The record is from RNAcentral.